UGAGAACCUCUGCUCCAGUUAGAAUGUUCACAUGAAAGUUCAUCAGGUGUUGAUGGGAGUCUUCCAGGGUCCAUUGUUAGUUAAGUGUUCCUUGAUGGGCC
Chelonoidis abingdonii (Abingdon island giant tortoise) is the source of this 101-nucleotide non-coding RNA. The record is from RefSeq and is a predicted model, not a curated record. NCBI's taxonomy places the organism in Eukaryota, Metazoa, Chordata, Testudines, Testudinidae.